GAAGUCCACUAGGGGUGCCGUAAUGGCUGAGAUAAGAGCUUUCUUAAUCCCUUUGAACCUGAUCUGGUUUAUACCAGCGUAGGAAAGUGGCAGCAGCGUUUU
RNAcentral lists this non-coding RNA (102 nucleotides) under Priestia endophytica. Its description in RNAcentral is "Bacillus endophyticus TPP sequence". It matches the Rfam family "TPP riboswitch aptamer (THI element)". Rfam says of the family: Vitamin B(1) in its active form thiamin pyrophosphate (TPP) is an essential coenzyme that is synthesised by coupling of pyrimidine and thiazole moieties in bacteria. The previously detected thiamin-regulatory element, thi box was extended, resulting in a new, highly conserved RNA secondary structure, the THI element, which is widely distributed in eubacteria and also occurs in some archaea. Analysis of operon structures identified a large number of new candidate thiamin-regulated genes, mostly transporters, in various prokaryotic organisms. The record is from Rfam by way of RNAcentral. Lineage: Bacteria; Bacillati; Bacillota; Bacilli; Caryophanales; Bacillaceae.